AUGACCACCAUAUAUGACCUGAAGAAACAGAAGGAUAAACUGUUGAAGUUUUAUGCUGAAAGUGAUGAGCAGAUAUUAAUGAAAAAUAGAAAAACACUUCAUAAAGCUAAAAAUGAAGAUCUUGAUCGUGUAUUGAAAGAGUGGAUCCGUCAGCGUCGCAGUGAACACAUGCCACUUAAUGGUAUGCUGAUCAUGAAACAAGCAAAGAUAUAUCACAAUGAACUAAAAAUUGAGGGGAACUGUGAAUAUUCAACAGGCUGGUUGCAGAAAUUUAAGAAAAGACAUGGCAUUAAAUUUUUAAAGACUUGUGGCAAUAAAGCAUCUGCUGGUCAUGAAGCAACAGAGAAGUUUACUGGCAAGUUCAGUAAUGAUGAUGAACAAGAUGGUAACUUUGAAGGAUUCAGUAUGUCAAGUGAGAAAAAAAUAAUGUCUGACCUCCUUACAUAUACAAAAAAUAUACAUCCAGAGACUGUCAGUAAGCUGGAAGAAGAGGAUAUCAAAGAUGUUUUUAACAGUAAUAAUGAGGCUCCAGUUGUUCAUUCAUUGUCCAAUGGUGAAGUAACAAAAAUGGUUCUGAAUCAAGAUGAUCAUGAUGAUAAUGAUAAUGAAGAUGAUGUUAACACUGCAGAAAAAGUGCCUAUAGACGACAUGGUAAAAAUGUGUGAUGGGCUUAUUAAAGGACUAGAGCAGCAUGCAUUCAUAACAGAGCAAGAAAUCAUGUCAGUUUAUAAAAUCAAAGAGAGACUUCUAAGACAAAAAGCAUCAUUAAUGAGGCAGAUGACUCUGAAAGAAACAUUUAAAAAAGCCAUCCAGAGGAAUGCUUCUUCCUCUCUACAGGACCCACUUCUUGGUCCCUCAACUGCUUCUGAUGCUUCUUCUCACCUAAAAAUAAAAUAA
Molecule: long non-coding RNA, 897 nt
Filed under: Homo sapiens (human)
Lineage: Eukaryota; Metazoa; Chordata; Mammalia; Primates; Hominidae
Description: non-protein coding lnc-PPME1-4:1
Source: RNAcentral